Non-coding RNA from Chelonia mydas (Green sea turtle), 118 nucleotides. Lineage: Eukaryota; Metazoa; Chordata; Testudines; Cheloniidae. The record is from Rfam.
GUCAGGAUGGCCGAGUGGUCUAAGGCGCCAGACUCAAGGCUUAAAGUGCCUUCCUCUCUCGAGGGCUGGGUGUUCUGGUCUCCGUAUGGAGGCGUGGGUUCGAAUCCCACUUCUGACA